Molecule: RNA transcript, 2773 nt
Organism: Schistocerca gregaria
Lineage: Eukaryota; Metazoa; Arthropoda; Insecta; Orthoptera; Acrididae
Exons: 4
Source: RefSeq, a predicted model, not a curated record
UUUUUUACUCUCUUAUGUACUCCAGCAACUCGAUUUUUGAGUCUAUUCCUGAGGCUCCCGAAGAUGCCGUCUUUGGCAUACAAAGACAAUGUUCCACAGAUGAACACGAGAUGAAGCUCGAUUUGAGCGUUGGUGCAUACCGCACAGAAGAGGGCAAGCCCUGGAUUCUUCCUGUCGUCAAAAAGGCGGAGUUGAAACUCAUGGAGAUAGGGCUCAACCACGAGUACUUGCCAAUCGAGGGCAAUAAGCGCUUCUCGAGUCUGGCCGCCAACCUCAUUCUUGGCGACGCUUUUUACAAUGCGAACACAAGACGAAUCGUGAGCGUCCAAGCACUUUCUGGGACGGGCGCGGUUCGCCUGGGCGCCGAGUUCGCUUGCAAGUGGUUUAGGAAUUGCGUCGUCUACAUCUCGAAUCCCACCUGGGUUAACCACAAAAACAUCUUCAAUACGCUCGGCAUCAAGGUCAGAACCUACCGCUACUGGAAUGCUAAGACCUUUUCCAUUAAUUUUGAGGGGAUGAAACAGGAUCUGCGCGAUGCACCCGACGGCUGUCUCGUCGUCUUGCAUGCUUGUGCUCACAACCCGACUGGUACCGACCCCACUCAGAGUCAGUGGGUAGAGCUUUCGAAAAUCUUCAAAGAAAAAAGCCACAUCCCAUUUUUUGAUUCCUCGUACCAGGGAUUUGCUACCGGCGACUUAGACAAGGAUGCCUUCCCUAUUCGUUACUUCGCCUCUCAGGGACACGAAAUGUUCAUCGCUCAAUCCUUCGCCAAAAACAUGGGUCUGUACGGAGAAAGGGUCGGCGCCUUCACCGCCAUCACCACCAACGCCAGAUCGUUCACUGCCAUCAAGACCCAGCUGUGCCGUCUUAUCCGAGCCAAUUACUCCAAUCCGCCCAGAUUUGGCGCAGCCGUAGCCGAGAUGGUGCUUGGUGAUCCCGCUCUCUUCCAAGAAUGGAAGCUUUGUCUGAAGUCGAUGGCGGAGCGUCUGCAGCUCCUCCGAGAGAAACUCUACGACACGCUGAUCCUCAAAAAGACACCUGGAGAUUGGUCUCACAUACUUCGGCAGAUCGGCCUGUUUUGUUAUACAGGUAUCACCGCUAAGCAAGUCGAGCACCUUGUUACUCGCUUCCACAUCUACCUCAUUCCGAAUGGUCGCAUUUCCCUCGCCGGCCUUUCCGCUAAGACCAUUCCUUACCUCGUCGAUUCCCUGCAUGCCGUCAUCGUCGAGCCCAGCUAAACAAGAGACGUAGCAUACAAAGCAUUUUUUUUUUGACACGUUGAAAGGAGGGUGACGCACGUCAUCCAACGAAUCAGCGCACCCGCUUUCACGUUUCCUCCUUACAGAGGACCUGUCCGCUGCUCGACCUUCACGUUAGAGAGUUUCCUUCGCUUUGCUGGUUUUUUACGUUUUCCCACCAUUCGGCCAGGCUUGAGCAGCAGCAGUUCUGACUCGAUUCGCGGACAAACUCGUCCAUCCAUGCGGGCAAUCUGUCUCCUUGUGCGGAGCGCCGGAGAAUCGAUUUGUUGGGGUUACUACGAGGGUCUAGAGCUCGACUGAGCAGAAAUCGACGCCCGACGGCGAUGGCCUGUUUCAGGACGUAGUCGUUGGGAGACGUAUUCACAGUUUUGACAGACGAUGUGUUUGAGCACUCGUCUAGCUGGAGCAGGAAGGGUUGAAAUGAACAAGGCUGUCGCUUUAGGUUUUUUUCAGAUCUGAGCAAGCAACGACAAGCUCUGUCUAGCCCGAUCAAGCUACGGCACGCGGGGCCAAUGAUCGAUAGAUUGACUUCUUGGGGCGUUCCUAUAAUCUGUUCAUAGACAUCAAAUACCGCAGCAUAAAGAAGUCGUUGAGAAGGGAACUUGGCUCUGUAUAGAGCUUGAUUGACAUGAUCUAGACAUUGUAAUAGAUCCAAUUCUAUUGCCAACUGACAGAUUUCUUCUAUAACUGGGAUCCAUUUGGCUGAGUGAAUUGGCGUUCUUUGGCGACGUGGUCUUCCGUCAAUGGCGCAAUCCUCCUCCGCGAUGAUGGAUCUGGCCGCAGUUACAGUCCCUCUAUCUUCGAGGGAGACGUUGUGCUGGCGGUCUCGACAGAAUUCCGGCGGGCACUUUUUUUUUGACGUCGAAAGGUGUCCCGUUUCGUCUCGCUGUCGUUGUUGAGCACACCCAUGCACGAAGCGAGACUUCUGUCUGGCCACGCUGUUCUCUCUCCGCAUCAAAGAUCUCCAUAUGGCCUCCAUGGUCCAUUGGAUGCAUAUUCGGCCAACCUUCGAUCGUCCAGUUGAUUGAGCGAUUUUGGCCACGGAAGACAGAAUUUUGUCCGUCCAGAAAUCUAUGGAGCUGUAUGGAUUCCAGGAUACCGCUCCACUUUAUCCAGUCUUCAUGAUUGAGUGCCUGUAAGUUCAUAACCCGAUGGAGAAGUGUCCGACAUUCCAGGGACGACGUGACUCUGUGGCGACUGUCCCCUGAGACUUUUUUUAUCCCUACUGGAUCCAGCUCUCUUUUCACCCAGCCGUCUAUUAUCUUUGCCGAGCUUCGCAUCAGUUCUGCACAUCCAAGGUUAUAAAUAGAAGAUCGAAUAUAGCACAAUUCUUCUGCAUCCUUCUUUUCUUGAACGACACUUCUUUGUUGCAUCCUCUUACUUUCCUUCUCCGCAUAUCUGUACAUUUCGUUUAAGAGGUGGUGUUGUAAUUUUUGCUGUCUCCAACUGCACAAUUUGGACCCUGAAUUUGCCAAUUCAUUCUGAAAGUUCGCGUAAGACAGCUGCACGUUUAC